RNAcentral lists this small RNA (520 nucleotides) under uncultured Glomus. RNAcentral describes it as "SSU rRNA". It matches the Rfam family "Eukaryotic small subunit ribosomal RNA", at positions 569 to 1092 of the family's 1831-position model. Lineage: Eukaryota; Fungi; Glomeromycota; Glomeromycetes; Glomerales; Glomeraceae. The record is from RNAcentral.
AGCAGCCGCGGUAAUUCCAGCUCCAAUAGCGUAUAUUAAAGUUGUUGCAGUUAAAAAGCUCGUAGUUGAAUUUCGGGAUCAAUAUGUUGGUCGUGCCUUGGUACGUACUGGCAUUAUUGGUUUCUACCUUCUGAAGAACCUCGAUGUCAUUAAUUUGGUGUCUUGGGGAAUCAGGACUGUUACUUUGAAAAAAUUAGAGUGUUUAAAGCAGGCUCGCGCUUGAAUACAUUAGCAUGGAAUAAUGAAAUAGGACGUUUGAUUCUAUUUUGUUGGUUUCUAGGAUUGACGUAAUGAUUAAUAGGGAUAGUUGGGGGCAUUAGUAUUCAAUUGUCAGAGGUGAAAUUCUUGGAUUUAUUGAAGACUAACUACUGCGAAAGCAUUUGCCAAGGAUGUUUUCAUUAAUCAAGAACGAAAGUUAGGGGAUCGAAGACGAUCAGAUACCGUCGUAGUCUUAACCAUAAACUAUGCCGACUAGGGAUCGGAUGAUGUUAAUUUUUAAUGACUCAUUCGGCGCCUUAAC